This 233-nucleotide ribosomal RNA is filed under the name uncultured bacterium. RNAcentral describes it as "partial 16S ribosomal RNA". It matches the Rfam family "Bacterial small subunit ribosomal RNA", at positions 15 to 238 of the family's 1533-position model. The record is from RNAcentral.
GAUCAUGGCUCAGGACGAACGCUGGCGGCGUGCCUAAUACAUGCAAGUAGAACGCUGAAGGAAGGAGCUUGCUCUUUCCGGAUGAGUUGCGAACGGGUGAGUAACGCGUAGGUAACCUGCCUGGUAGCGGGGGAUAACUAUUGGAAACGAUAGCUAAUACCGUAUAACAGUAGAUAUCGCAUGAUAUUUGCUUGAAAGGUGCAAUUGCACCACUACCAGAUGGACCUGCGUUG